UUACAAGCCUAAGUAUUAUAUCCUUUUUAGAAAAUACAAAGACAAACACUCAUACGGACUUUGGCUACACCAUCAAAGCUUAGAGAAGCAAGAAGAAGGUUGGUUAGUGUUUUGGAGUCGAAUAUGACUUGAUGUGAUGUGUAUGAUUGAGUAUAAGAAAUUAAACCGCAACCGGAUCUUAAAAGCCUAAGUAUUGUUUCCUUGUUAGAAGAAACAAAGGCAAAGCCUCAUACAAACUUUAGCUUUACCAUCAAAGCCUUGAGAAGAAAGAAGAAGCUUGGUUAGUGUUUUGGAGUCAAAUAUUACUAGAUGUCAUGUGUAUGAGUGAGUAUGACAACUAGAACCAUAACCGGAUCUUAAAAACCUAAGUAUUGAAUCUUUGUUAGAAGAUACAAAGACAAAGACUCAUACGGACUUCAACUACACUAUCAAAGCUUUGAGAAGCAAGAAGAAGCUUGGUUAGUGUUUUGGAUUCGAAUAUGACUUGAUGUCAUGUGUAUGACUCAGUAUAAACACUAGAACCGCAACGGAUCUUAAAAGCAUAAGUAUUGUAUCAUUGUUAGAAGAUACAAUGACGAAGACUCAUACGGACUUCGACUACACCAUCAAAGCUUUGAGAAGCAAGAAGCAGUUGGUUAGUGUUUUGGAGUCGAAUAUGACUUGAUGGCAUGUGUAUGAGUGAGUAUAAAAACUAGAACCGCAACGGAUCUUAAAAGCCUAAAUAUUGUAUCCUUGUUAGAAGAUACAUAGACAAAGUCUCAUACGGAAUUCGGCUAAACCAUCAAAGCUUUUAGAAGCAAGAAGAAGCUUGGUUAGUGUUUUGGAGUGAAAUCUAACUAGAUGUCAUGUGUAUGAGUGAGUAUACCAACUAGAACCACAAUUAGAAUUUUAAAAGCCUAAGUAUUAUAUCCUUUUUAGAAGAUACAAAGACAAACACUCAUACGGACUUUGGUUACACCAUCAAAGCUUUGAGAAGCAAGAAGAAGCUUGGUUAGUGUUUUGGAGUCGAAUAUGACUUGAUGUGAUGUGUAUGAUUGAGUAUAAGAAAUUAAACCGCAACCGGAUCUUAAAAGCCUAGGUAUUGUUUCCUUGUUAGAAGAAACAAAGGCAAAGCA
Molecule: small RNA, 1115 nt
Filed under: Arabidopsis thaliana (thale cress)
Lineage: Eukaryota; Viridiplantae; Streptophyta; Magnoliopsida; Brassicales; Brassicaceae
Description: ATSL269590
Source: RNAcentral